RNAcentral lists this ribosomal RNA (444 nucleotides) under uncultured bacterium. Its description in RNAcentral is "partial 16S ribosomal RNA". It matches the Rfam family "Bacterial small subunit ribosomal RNA", at positions 339 to 795 of the family's 1533-position model. The record is from RNAcentral.
CUACGGGUCGCUGCAGUGGGGAAUAUUGCACAAUGGGCGCAAGCCUGAUGCAGCAACGCCGCGUGGGGGACGACGGCCUUCGGGUUGUAAACCUCUUUUAGUAGGGAAGAAGCGCAAGUGACGGUACCUACAGAAAAAGCACCGGCUAACUACGUGCCAGCAGCCGCGGUAAUACGUAGGGUGCAAGCGUUGUCCGGAAUUAUUGGGCGUAAAGAGCUCGUAGGCGGUUUGUCGCGUCUGCUGUGAAAAUCCGAGGCUCAACCUCGGACCUGCAGUGGGUACGGGCAAACUAGAGUGCGGUAGGGGAGGUUAGAAUGCCUGGUGUAGCGGUGGAAUGCGCAGAUAUCAGGAGGAACACCAAUGGCGAAGGCAGAUCUCUGGGCCGUAACUGACGCUGAGGAGCGAAAGCGUGGGGAGCGAACAGGAUUAGAUACCCGGGUAGUC